AAAAAAACCAACCUCCACUCCAAACGUUUAACUAAAGAGAGAGGUAUGAGCCAGGGUCAAGACAUCUAGAAAGGGUGAGGAGAGGCUCUACCAGCAGGAAGCUCUUCCCACCCCAGUGUCUGAAGGGCAGCUGACAAGAGAAUCUCACUGGAUUUAUGGAGGAGAGACUACCUAAGGGGAGCAGUAAAAAUGAGAGUGCAGCUCUGCCCAGAUGGCCAUGUGAAGUUGGAGUGGGCCAGGAUUCCCCCAGUUGGACUCUCACAUACCUGUGGACCUCAAGUGCUCCUUCAUAUGUGUUUUCAAUGAACUUCAUCCAAACCACAUCAAAUGGCUGUGUAUAACACUAAGGAAAUGUCAUAUUGUCUCCUAGUCCUCUACCAUGCAGGUGUUGUUGGAGGCUGGAGAGCUACUUGAGUCUCACUGAAGAAUUUUCACUAUAAAUGAAGGCACUGCAGUCUCAGACUAUGACAGCAAUUGAUACUGUCUGUUUCUACCAUAUGGAGACAUUAAGAUGUUUUACCAAGUAUCAUGGUAUUUUAG
This 540-nucleotide long non-coding RNA is filed under the name Homo sapiens (human). RNAcentral's name for it is "HSALNT0037269". Lineage: Eukaryota; Metazoa; Chordata; Mammalia; Primates; Hominidae. The record is from RNAcentral.